UAAAUUAGCCUUUGUAUGUUAGAUCGAAGAGCAAAUUGGCCCUUUUAUUGUAAAUUUCAUCCAUUUCUACUGUUAAAAACUAAUCCCUGUAUGUCGACAUGAGGAAUAUGUGGCACGCCAUGUCUGGUUAUUCCAUCAGCAUCGCUAGUUUAAUAAUUAGAAUAGAUGAAAAUUUUAACUAAAAGGACUACUUUGCUCUUUGAUUUAACUUAUAAGGACUAAUUUGC
RNAcentral lists this microRNA precursor (227 nucleotides) under Gossypium raimondii (Peruvian cotton). RNAcentral describes it as "miR7484m stem-loop (gra-MIR7484m)". The record is from miRBase by way of RNAcentral. Lineage: Eukaryota; Viridiplantae; Streptophyta; Magnoliopsida; Malvales; Malvaceae.